AGAGCAUCUUUCAGGUUGAAUUUUCCACAAUAUGACGUUUUGAAAAAGUCCGAGAGACACUGUGGCAUAAAUAAAAGCUUCUUAAAAUUUCAUUUUUUGUAAUUGCACUUAAUUCAGCUCGUCUGCGAUCCAGUGCUUUAAAAAACAUAACUUUUCCUGUCACGUGAUACGUGACGUCAUGUAAGGUAAACGAGCCCAUACGCCAGCGGCUAUCAGCUCAGUUUACCGUAGGCAUCGGCUGUGUUUUUUACUCCAGACUUCUAAUAGUAAAACUAAAGAUUUCUGGAACAUCACCAUGGUGAAUACUUGUGUUUGUGCAUCCUGCACAAAUUCAAGUCUCUCUGGACAUCGUGUCCACAGUUUCCCUAACAAGAAGAGCCCCACCUUUCGCUCCUGGGUCAGGUUUGUCCAGGCUAGGCGCCAAGACUUCACUUUCAAGUCCGUUCAUCCCAAAAACUCCGUCAUUUGCAGCGCACACUUUGUGGAAACGGACUAUAUGCCUAGUGACCUAACUGCGUUUAAGAUGGGGUACAAGACCAUGAGGUCAGUGCGUUUAAGGUCUGAUGCAGUUCCCACUGUUCAUGCUACGGCUAGCAUGCUAGCAGCAGCAGGUGCCCCAUCACGUCUGCCUUCACCGGGGAAGCCGCGGGCCGCCCAUCGGAAACGGGAGACGAGCAGAGUCAGGCCAUCUGAAACCUUGGUAGACACCAUGUUCAUCAGGGAAAGCUAACCGGAUUGCUGAGACAACACAUGCUGGAAGAGGUUUCCUCACAUGUCGUCCAAGCACUCCAUGUGCCCAGCGUACCAUCUGCCUGUAGGCAGUAUACCUGAACUGUUCAUUUUGGGUCAGAUCAAGUGGACCAUGUUCCUGCUUGAAAGCGCUGUAGGCCACCUGAAGCACCCAGGGGUUCAAACAGCAUGCAGAGAACCCAGGAUGCUGUCCCACACAAGUAAUGCCUUCGGGUUGUGGAUGGAGGUCUUCGACGAGGCUCCAAAUUGCAGGAAUCUCCCUGCAGCAUAUGCUCUCCUCCGCACUGCUCAUGGGCUGACAGUGUCCACAUAAACACCUGUAAUUAGAUAACAUGCUGUUAAAGAAUUUCUGUUGUUAAAUGUAGAUACAGUGUUGUAAAUAUAUGUUCAACCAUGUAAAGAUUUUUAUUUUUUUUACUUUUACAUACAGGCUUUAAAAAUUAAAUGUUUAUAUUUCAUCCGUAGUCAUAGCUGCUUAUAACAUGCUGAAACAUUUCAUGUAAUACAUAAAGCUGAGAUGCCCUUUU
Molecule: long non-coding RNA, 1277 nt
Organism: Melanotaenia boesemani (Boeseman's rainbowfish)
Lineage: Eukaryota; Metazoa; Chordata; Actinopteri; Atheriniformes; Melanotaeniidae
Exons: 2
Source: RefSeq, a predicted model, not a curated record